UACGUAGGGGGCAAGCGUUAUCCGGAAUUACUGGGUGUAAAGGGAGCGCAGGCGGGAAGCCAAGUCAGCUGUGAAAACUACGGGCUUAACUUGUAGACUGCAGUUGAAACUGGUUUUCUUGAGUGAAGUAGAGGUUGGCGGAAUUCCGAGUGUAGCGGUGAAAUGCGUAGAUAUUCGGAGGAACACCGGUGGCGAAGGCGGCCAACUGGGCUUUAACUGACGCUGAGGCUCGAAAGUGUGGGGAGCAAACAGG
Molecule: ribosomal RNA, 253 nt
Filed under: uncultured bacterium
Lineage: Bacteria
Description: partial 16S ribosomal RNA
Rfam family: Bacterial small subunit ribosomal RNA
Source: RNAcentral